Cydia pomonella (codling moth) is the source of this 1636-nucleotide long non-coding RNA. RefSeq lists it as uncharacterized. The record is from RefSeq and is a predicted model, not a curated record. The transcript has 2 exons. NCBI's taxonomy places the organism in Eukaryota, Metazoa, Arthropoda, Insecta, Lepidoptera, Tortricidae.
CGUCAGCAGAUCGAACAAGGGUAAUUUGCUGCUUAAAAACAGUGAGCAAAAUCGCAUUUUGCUCACCGAGUGAGACAAAAUAACAUUCAAGUGACCUUUAGAAUCGAAUGUCAUUUCAACGUGCGGGGCCUAAUACAAGUUCGAAAUAUUUGGAUUCUAUUGUCUUUAUCCCUUUCACGUCAUUAGCAAAAAGAAAGAGACAAAAAAAGUGCAUACGUAAUUCAACGGUAUAUUGACGGUUUAUAAUAGACCCCCGAAAUAAGUCAGACCGCAUCGUUCCAAAACACCCUACGAGUCUUCAUUCGUAAUAAUUAAUUAAUGAAAUAAAAGUUUAAAAUUUAAUAAAAACACCAUAUUUUACGUAUUUUAUUAUACAAUCAAAACAAUGAACUUAUACAAAUUCACGCAAUUGUUACGCAGUAAAUAAUUCUACUUAACUACUUUUAACGAUCUCUACUAUAGUUGACAAAUAGUAGUAUCCGCAAUUCGGACCGGAUCUUACAAAGUUUUUUUGUUUACAAAAAAAAGUUGUCGAUUGAACUGUCAAUUGAUGUUCGUUAAUUCAUUAUUUUCGUAUUAUUUUAUUGAAAUUUCUUUCGUUUUGUUUUAUUGCGGUAAUUAAAGUUAAUUGUUAGAAUACCUUCAGAAAACAUGAGUGAAAUAGUGAUCCGUCCGUCUGGAUUACAUUUUUUCAGGUUGUAUUUUUUCAUGGCUGACUGACGUGAAAAAUUUUGUGUACUACACGAGAUCAAAGUUAUUUACAUCUCGUGCGCUUUUGAGUCCCUUACUACGCUCAACAUUCUAAAUUAGAUUCACUCGCUACGCUCGUGAAUCUAUUAUAGAAUCUUUCGCUUGCACGGGACUCAAAACAAGCACUCGAAGAAAUAUCAAACUUUGCUCUCUUGUUGUACAAAUAACUAUUGUGAGGAAUUAAUAACCAAAGUAGAUUAUAUUAAGUGGGUACAACCAACUGCAAAGAUAGCCACUUUAUCAAUUUAUCAUGAAUACAUUCAUAAUGUCCAUGUAAUUUUGUAGCUCGCUGUAAGUAGGUACAUAAAAUUGUCAUGAUUUAUUUAUGUUUACAUUUAAGAUAGCAGUUAAAUAAUAAUUCCACUGUGGCAACAUUCAUACGUUGCCCCGAUUAAUACGGCAGCACGGUAGUUUUAGCAAGUGGUGGGGACACGAAGUAAUUUAGACACGUUGAUUUAGACAGGCUCGUUCACUUGGGUUGAGGCCGUCAAAGAGGACGCAUCGUAUAGGAUUGGUUCGGUCAAAGUAUCUGCAAGUACCUCCGUUGUCGUAGUAGUAAUAGUUUAGAGUAACCAUGCGAGAAGAAGCACCCCAAAAUACAGAAAUGAUAAAAUUGAGGAUUCCACCUAGUUUUUAACAACUUCGGUAACAUAAUGAUUGAUCAAGAAGAGGACUUAAUAAGCGACGAAGCGACCGGAGAUGGGGUAUAGCCCCAUUUGGCGGCACAUGAACGGAGCUCCAGCGGGAAAUGAAGAGGCUUAGCGAUUUUGGCGAAUACCCACUCUACGCCACUGUACUUAAUGUAAACUAAGAGUAUCAUUAAAAGAAAUUAGGAGCAACUUAAUCUUCUGAUUGUAAACAACUGAAAUGAGGGCACAUUAGAUGG